This 253-nucleotide ribosomal RNA is filed under the name uncultured bacterium. RNAcentral describes it as "partial 16S ribosomal RNA". It matches the Rfam family "Bacterial small subunit ribosomal RNA", at positions 524 to 776 of the family's 1533-position model. The record is from RNAcentral.
UACGUAGGGGGCAAGCGUUGUCCGGAAUCAUUGGGCGUAAAGCGCGUGUAGGCGGCCCGGUAAGUCCGCUGUAAAAGUCCAGGGCUCAACCCUGGAAAGCCGGUGGAUACUGUCGGGCUCGAGUCCGGGAGAGGUGAGUGGAAUUCCCAGUGUAGCGGUGAAAUGCGUAGAUAUUGGGAGGAACACCAGUGGCGAAGGCGGCUCACUGGACCGGUUCUGACGCUGAGGCGCGAAAGCGUGGGGAGCAAACGGG